CCGGGUCCGGACGUAUCGAGGAUUGACAGAUAGUUAUACAUGCCCUACAAGCAAGUAGGAGUCAGGUUUUAAACCUAAUGGCUCUUUCAUGAUUAUAUGAUAGGUGGUGCAUGGCCGUUCUUAGUUCGUGGAGUGAUCUGUCUGCUUAAUUGCGUUUCAAAUUUUUAACCGAGGACCGGGUUUUGGUUUGGCUAGUGGUCCUACGAUGACUGUGAACUGUCAUGUCUUCGGAUGUACGACUAUCGGUCUAGGAUCACAUGACUUGCCCCUGGGACUCUUUUGAACGCAACGGACGUGAUUGCAACCCCUUGUUGAGAUUAGAGAUAGUCUCGAUAUUCACUGGCCAAACUGGCUGCUUUAUGCAGUCUUGUUGAAUGGUGGAUAAACUCGGGGGACUGCUGACUAUAACCAUUUCUCAAAACAGAGGAAGGUUGCGGCAAUAACAGGUCUGUGAUGCCCUCAGAUGUCCCGGGCUGCACACGUGCUACAAUGAGUGGCGCAAUGUGCUAAUGUUUUAAGGGAUAAGCGUGCGGCCAGUAGAACGUCGGCAAUUGCCCUGGCGUCUUCUACCGCACGAUUAUCAGCCUUCCCUUAACAGGGCGGGCAACCUUUUCAAAAUACCGGUUUGAUGUUAAAGUAUAGAGUCGUUUUUUUUGG
RNAcentral lists this ribosomal RNA (657 nucleotides) under Globigerinoides ruber albus. RNAcentral's name for it is "SSU rRNA". It matches the Rfam family "Eukaryotic small subunit ribosomal RNA", at positions 1218 to 1573 of the family's 1831-position model. The record is from RNAcentral. Lineage: Eukaryota; Foraminifera; Rotaliida; Globigerinidae.